GGGGAUUUAGCUCAGUGGUAGAGCGCUUGCCUAGCAAGCACAAGGCACUGGGUUCGGUCCCCAGCUCCG
Non-coding RNA from Rattus norvegicus (Norway rat), 69 nucleotides. Lineage: Eukaryota; Metazoa; Chordata; Mammalia; Rodentia; Muridae. The record is from Rfam.